This 412-nucleotide long non-coding RNA is filed under the name Brachypodium distachyon (stiff brome). RNAcentral's name for it is "long non-coding RNA (BDIS_LNC002900)". The record is from RNAcentral. Lineage: Eukaryota; Viridiplantae; Streptophyta; Magnoliopsida; Poales; Poaceae.
UCAGCACAUGGUUACAUUCUUUUGAAGAUGAACCCUGCAAGCAGGCCAAGCAGACCAAACAAGAUGAAACCAUGAGAUUACAUGAAAGUUGAGAUGAUCGAUUGUCUAUUCAUGGACAGAAGAUGGUGGAGUUCACAGAGGAGUAAUUAGCAGAGUAAUCUCAAUCUGGUUAGAGUGAACACCUUUUUUCCAAUUUUUAAUUUUUAUAUGACAAAUCAAACGCUAUAUCUGACUCUAGUGAGAAAGUAGCAUAACGAUAGCACUACUUUGUUAGGAGAUCACUAGCAUUUUGACCUGAUGGGGCAAUACUACUCGGCUACUCCUGUUACCUAUGUGUCCCAAUGUUUGGAUGAUGGAGACCUGAUGACUGAUGUAGACCUGCCAUGUAAAAUAUGAAUUGGGCAAGAAAAAG